AUGAACGCUGGCGGCGUGCCUAAUACAUGCAAGUCGAGCGAACAGAUAAGGAGCUUGCUCCUUUGACGUUAGCGGCGGACGGGUGAGUAACACGUGGGUAACCUACCUAUAAGACUGGGAUAACUUCGGGAAACCGGAGCUAAUACCGGAUAACAUUUGGAACCGCAUGGUUCUAAAGUGAAAGAUGGUUUUGCUAUCACUUAUAGAUGGACCCGCGCCGUAUUAGCUAGUUGGUAAGGUAACGGCUUACCAAGGCGACGAUACGUAGCCGACCUGAGAGGGUGAUCGGCCACACUGGAACUGAGACACGGGCCAGACUCCUACGGGAGGCAGCAGUAGGGAAUCUUCCGCAAUGGGCGAAAGCCUGACGGAGCAACGCCGCGUGAGUGAUGAAGGGUUUCGGCUCGUAAAACUCUGUUAUUAGGGAAGAACAAACGUGUAAGUAACUGUGCACGUCUUGACGGUACCUAAUCAGAAAGCCACGGCUAACUACGUGC
Molecule: ribosomal RNA, 497 nt
Filed under: uncultured bacterium
Lineage: Bacteria
Description: partial 16S ribosomal RNA
Rfam family: Bacterial small subunit ribosomal RNA
Source: RNAcentral